Molecule: ribosomal RNA, 383 nt
Filed under: uncultured eukaryote
Lineage: Eukaryota
Description: SSU rRNA
Rfam family: Eukaryotic small subunit ribosomal RNA
Source: RNAcentral
AGCUCCAAUAGCGUAUAUUAAAGUUGUUGCGGUUAAAAAGCUCGUAGUUGGAUUUCUGUUGAGGACGACCGGUCUGCAUUUUGUGCAUGUAUCUGGCUCGGCCUUGGCAUCCUCUUGGAGAGCGUAGCUGCGCUUCAUUGCGUGGUGCGAUAUUCAAGACUUUUACUUUGAGGAAAUUAGAGUGUUCACGGCAGGCAAUCGCCUUGAAUAUACUUAGCAUGGAAUAAUAAUAUAGGAUCUUGGGUCUAUUUUGUUGGUUUCUAGAACUAAGAUAAUGAUUAAUAGGGAUAAUUGGGGGCAUUCGUAUUAACACGUCAGAGGUGGAAUUCUUGGAUUGUGUUACGACGAACUACUGCGAAAGCAUUUGCCAAGGAUGUUUUCAU